RNAcentral lists this ribosomal RNA (301 nucleotides) under uncultured bacterium. Its description in RNAcentral is "partial 16S ribosomal RNA". It matches the Rfam family "Bacterial small subunit ribosomal RNA", at positions 509 to 807 of the family's 1533-position model. The record is from RNAcentral.
CAGCAGCCGCGGGAAUACGUAGGUGGCAAGCGUUGUCCGGAAUUAUUGGGCGUAAAGGGCUCGCAGGCGGUUUCUUAAGUCUGAUGUGAAAGCCCCCGGCUCAACCGGGGAGGGUAAUUGGAAACUGGGAAACUUGAGUGCAGAAGAGGAGAGUGGAAUUCCACGUGUAGCGGUGAAAUGCGUAGAGAUGUGGAGGAACACCAGUGGCGAAGGCGACUCUCUGGUCUGUAACUGACGCUGAGGAGCGAAAGCGUGGGGAGCGAAUAGGAUUAGAUACCCCAGUAGUCCCUGUCUCUUAUAC